This 507-nucleotide long non-coding RNA is filed under the name Ornithorhynchus anatinus (platypus). Its description in RNAcentral is "lncRNA (ENSOANG00000049262.1)". The record is from RNAcentral. Lineage: Eukaryota; Metazoa; Chordata; Mammalia; Monotremata; Ornithorhynchidae.
UGAGGAAACUGAGGGCCAGAGAAGUAAAGUGACUCACCCAGUGACAACCAGCAGACCAAUGCCGGAGCCGGGAUCACAACUCAGGUCCUUCUGACUUCCAGGCCCGUGCUCUAACCAUGAGGCCAAGCACCAUACUAAGCACCGUGGGAGAUGAAAGCUCAUCGGGUCACAACCAGUCUCUGCCCUCCUGGAGUUUUCAGCCUCAUUGCGAUGGAUCGAGUGGUAGGCCUCGUGCCCGGCUUCCAGAGGAAAAUCACCAAGCAGGUCUUGGGAAGAAAGACCAUGUGGGAGUGAUGUCAAGGAACAGUCCUUCUGGGCUCCAAAGGGAUAUUUAUUCCUGGGAUCCAGCACUGAUCUAGAGAAAAGAAAUUAAAUAAUCUUUGACUAACAUGGAGACAAGAAGCAAGACCAUCAUUUCCUCCCUGUCCUGAUACGUGUGCCCCACACCACCGAGGAAGUGCCAGGGUAAGCCUAAGCUCUGGGGGCUUCAGAUAAGGGGUCCUCCGG